CGGAGAGUUUGAUCCUGGCUCAGGAUGAACGCUGGCGGCGUGCCUAAUACAUGCAAGUCGAACGCUUUGUGGUUCAACUGAUUUGAAGAGCUUGCUCAGAUAUGACGAUGGACAUUGCAAAGAGUGGCGAACGGGUGAGUAACACGUGGGAAACCUACCUCUUAGCAGGGGAUAACAUUUGGAAACAGAUGCUAAUACCGUAUAACAAUAGCAACCGCAUGGUUGCUACUUAAAAGAUGGUUCUGCUAUCACUAAGAGAUGGUCCCGCGGUGCAUUAGUUAGUUGGUGAGGUAAUGGCUCACCAAGACGAUGAUGCAUAGCCGAGUUGAGAGACUGAUCGGCCACAAUGGGACUGAGACACGGCCCAUACUCCUACGGGAGGCAGCAGUAGGGAAUCUUCCACAAUGGGCGAAAGCCUGAUGGAGCAACGCCGCGUGUGUGAUGAAGGGUUUCGGCUCGUAAAACACUGUUGUAAGAGAAGAAUGACAUUGAGAGUAACUGUUCAAUGUGUGACGGUAUCUUACCAGAAAGGAACGGCUAAAUACGUGCCAGCAGCCGCGGUAAUACGUAUGUUCCAAGCGUUAUCCGGAUUUAUUGGGCGUAAAGCGAGCGCAGACGGUUAUUUAAGUCUGAAGUGAAAGCCCUCAGCUCAACUGAGGAAUUGCUUUGGAAACUGGAUGACUUGAGUGCAGUAGAGGAAAGUGGAACUCCAUGUGUAGCGGUGAAAUGCGUAGAUAUAUGGAAGAACACCAGUGGCGAAGGCGGCUUUCUGGACUGUAACUGACGUUGAGGCUCGAAAGUGUGGGUAGCAAACAGGAUUAGAUGCCCUGGUAGUCCACACCGUAAACGAUGAGUGCU
Molecule: ribosomal RNA, 858 nt
Filed under: uncultured bacterium
Lineage: Bacteria
Description: bacterial SSU rRNA
Rfam family: Bacterial small subunit ribosomal RNA
Source: RNAcentral